Homo sapiens (human) is the source of this 584-nucleotide long non-coding RNA. RefSeq lists it as uncharacterized. Lineage: Eukaryota; Metazoa; Chordata; Mammalia; Primates; Hominidae. The record is from RefSeq and is a predicted model, not a curated record. The transcript is spliced from 3 exons.
CAGCAGGAUCACAGUUACACAGGAGAGGUUGACCAUAUCAACAGUGGCCAGGUUAAGGAUGUAGGUCACAUAGGGGCUGCUCCAGACCUAACUGUCCCCUGAAACAAAGAAGAAUCUUUAAGAGAAGUCAGUCUCUCCACUUUAAUGCAUCUCCCAGACUGAGGUCCAGCCCAGCCCAACCCAUCCUAGAAGGCAGAAGAGGAAAGUCAGCUCAGACAACUGAAAAAGGACUAAUCUGCUUAUAGAUGGAGAGCUAACAGAAGUGGAGAGACAAAGACCUGUCCACGAGAAGUCUCAUGCCCCUUCCUUCACUCUGACACCUCCUUAACAUGCUCCUGAAAUGUCAGCAUCAUGAGACAUGAGCUACACAAUGAUGCAGUAUGGGAAUUAAGAGGUAACCAUAUAUUUUAAUAUCAGACUUGAAUGAAUCUUCUUUGUUUUGAGUAACAUGUACACAUAAUUGAAUAAGCACAUAUAGAAAUCAUUAAAAAAAGUUAUUUGACAAAUUACACCUUAAAAGGAGACUAUACAUUAUUUUAAACACCAUGGUGGACAAAACUGACCAUGUCUUCAGCCACAGAGUA